Long non-coding RNA from Pseudopipra pipra, 4587 nucleotides. RefSeq lists it as uncharacterized. The record is from RefSeq and is a predicted model, not a curated record. The transcript is spliced from 2 exons. NCBI's taxonomy places the organism in Eukaryota, Metazoa, Chordata, Aves, Passeriformes, Pipridae.
GACAGGCACAGGCAGAGCGAGGGAGCGUCUGCAAAGUGCGCGCCCGGCGCGGGGGCGAGGGGAAAACCUCCCGGGCACGGGGAUGGGCACCGGGAACGGGGAUGAGCAGGGGCACCGUCACCCGUGCGCAGCCGCCGCGGUGAGUCCGCGGAGGCGGCUCCCGGCCUCCUCUGCCUCCUCCUGGCUCGUCCUCCUCCGCAAAUUCAUGAGGUCAGGCGCGGCUCCCGACUCUGGCAGCGAUGCGGUUUUGUCCGCGGUAAGCGGACGCAUUGCAUCAGCCAGCGUUUUACUGAGCGUUAGACACAGCUCCAGACUCCAUGCAUGUACUGAUCCCAUCAUCCUUGGGUGCAGAGAGGAAUGAUUACAGAAGCGAUUAAAGAAGAUGGCUGAUGUGUGAGAACACUCAAACAUAGCAUAAGGCUAGGACUGAGCCCCUUAGCUAUAUCUGUUAAUAGAGAACUUUUGGGUUAUUGUGAGGUGUAUCUUAUUCAUAAGGAAAACAAUCAUAUUCUGGUAGAGACAUUCAAUAUAUCAGCUACUGAUACUGUUUUCCUGCUUAAUUUUAUGUCCAAAGGUGGUGGACAAAGCCCUGCCCUGAGUGGAUAACAAAAACUCCCUUGAUUUUGUGCCAGUUGCAGCUUUGGAGUGGUAAAGAACUCAAACAGAUGAGGCGAAGAAGUCACAGCUAUAGUAACUUCAGCUUGCUUACUGUGCACUCAACAUAAAGGACAGAAGUGAUCCUUAGAAGACACUGAACAUAUUUUGGACUUUCCAUAUUGAGAGACCAAUUCUUUGGCACAUCUCUAUACUGAAUUUUGGAGAAUUCUGAUUGUGGACCAGCAGUGGAGGAUAACCUAAACAUAAGUGCACAGAAGUCACCAGUGCUAACUCCAGAUUUGCUUAAUGUCACCUUUAAAGUAGCAUACUUGUUGAAUUUUCCAUUCCUUUUUGUUCAAAGAAUGAACUACUGUAACAUGGAGAAACGUGUCUAUAGCAUAAAAGAAUUCUGUAAUUAUUGACAGGCAAUACCUACACAAGCCUUUCCCUAGUGAAGUAUGUGAAAACUGUGUUCCCCUUUUGACUUGUAAGACUGUAUAAUAAAAUUACAGCACGUGUAUAAAAUAUAGUUUGCCUUUCCUGGUAGAAAAAUCUGUUAUUACAAAAUAUACAUUAUUAGAGAAUAUAGAUAGAGAAAAUACUUUUAAUAUAGAAAUGUCUUUCUUGUGAGGUGGAGUACAUCUAACAUACCUGCCUUUGUUGUGGUUCAUAUCCCCAUCUUGUCUCAGGUAGACAGACAGAGUGUUACAUCAUGUUAUACUUGUAUUGCUACAGCACCUGGGAUAGGAACUAGAGACCAUUUGCAUUAUAAUCUUCAUCUCUUUUAAAGCCCCCUUGCCUGGUUUCUGGAAGGUCUCCCUCCCUCUAUUCAGAGUUUUCUUUCCUUCUUUUAUAACCCCUCCAUAUGCUCCUCUGAAUAAAGGAUUAUUAGCUUUGCAGAUACUAAGUGGACUCUUUGGUGGCAGGCGGAAUAUUUUAUUAUUAAUAUUGAACAUGACUUCAAUAAAACAAAAAAGGAGAAGAGGAAAAAGAAGAAGGUAAAACUAAAAUUUGAACCAGAGAUAAGAUAAAAAAGACCUUCCUGAAAAGUAUCUUUGCCUGUUCAUAGCCAAACACAAUAAGCAUGUCUUGAGGCUUCCAAGAUAUGCUUUUAAAGCUUUCUGUUUGAUGUCUCCCUCAGCUUUAUUGAUACAAUUGAAUUUACUGCAAAAUGAUAACUGACUCAACAGUCAGCAUAGUCUCCUCUGUGCUAGAGAUCAGAAAACUCAUGUGUUCUUGUUCAAGAACGCGCCUUGCUUUUUUGUUUGAACACUCUGAUUUCUAAGGACCUCAUCUAUAUUUUUUGAAAUACAGUACAAUAUACUUCUGAAGAGCUGCCAUAUUCAACCCUAGUAAUAUUCCAAUCACAAAGUGAUAUUUUGAAAAGUCACCCUCUCUCUUUUGCUUCUUAAUCACAUUUCAAAAGUGCUGUAGAAUAACCUUGGUUAAACUCUGAUUAAAUAUCAAAAUAUUAGGAAAUAGAAAAUGUUCCUGUCCUUUCCCCAUAUUCAGGCACACACAUCCCCUUCCCCCACCCCCGGUUUUAACAUGAGUAAGACUUUGCAGUUAGGCUUUAACUGCAUCCUUUUUGCCAAGGUUUUAUGGAUAUUGAAAAGUCAGAGUUUUAAAAGGUAUCAUUAUCUCUGCCCAGUACAGAAAAAACUCCCAAAAGCCCCCAACAACAACAACAAAAAAAUGCAAACAAAAAACCCCUACCCAAAACAAAAUCAAACAAAACCCCCAAUUCCACUGUGGUUGUGGCCAGUGUAAUGUAGUGCUAAAUUUGAAAUACAGAGUAUCUGGUUAGAUCGCUGCUACAUUAUUGCAAGUGUAACAAAGGACUCCAGGUCAAUGCCAAAAUGAGAUUAUGAAGUUAAUUAUUUUUCAGCCUUACCUUAGUUAAAUGUAUCUGGUUUUCUGUUGUUACUGGAUACCCAAAGCAAACACUAGGAUCCAAAUAAUCCUUAUUUUUGAAUCUGGUUUUACAGUUUUAACUGGUAUAUCAGUUGUGAUUUCAGCAUCAGGCCAACUGCUUUAGGUAACAACACAUCUAGGAAAUACAUUAUCUCCUAUAAAUCUCCAGAACUUUUGACAGACUUCCCAAUCUGGAUAUUACUGUUGUACAUUCCUGUAACUUUCUUAAGUAAUCCUUGAUUGGUUUUUUUUUUCUUUAAAAUAUUUUAUUAACUUGUUAAUUUGAAACUCAGAAGUAUGUACACACUCAGAACUGUAUCUUAUCUUUACUCUCCAUUAGCAAUAAAUGCAUUAUCAAACAAGGGUGAAGAAAACACAUCAUGUAGGCAACCACUGAAAUUGGCAUCUUUUCUCUGUCAAGUAGCCAGGUGACAUUUCACUUAUGGAAACUGUUAAACCAGAGCAUUAACAACAGAUUCAGUUUAUUUUCUAUCUACUUAAAAGAGAACUGUUGUCACUAUUUUGGCAAUUAAUGUUUAAAAGUGGGAGGCACUUGAUUUAUAAAAGACAUUAAACUGAAGUCUGCUUUAUAAAGCUAGAAGGGACUGAUUAUAAAACUUCACAAAAAAGCAAACGAUUUUUAGCAAUUUAUGAACUGUGACAAGAGUGUCUUGCUUCAAUGGGCGGUAGAUGAAGCUGCUGUUAUUAGAAACAAACCCACAGUGUGAGAUAUAGAUCAUCAGUUUUGAACACUCUUUUCUCCUCAGUCCCUCAAAUGAAGGAAAUCUUAUGUAGGGUACUGAUUCACCGCAGUGUAUCCCAUGCCUGAAAUCCUGGAAUAUCUUCCAGCACCAGGAAAUUAUUUACAGUAAUUCUUGACUGUUAUUUACAAGAUUGGCAAUAAAAAUGGGAGUUCUUGACUGUGGAAUUACCACAUAUGAGUGCUUACUUUUAGGCUUUUGGCUGGUUAAGCAGAUCUAGUAGGUCCCCUUUCAUCUAAUUUAAAAAUUGAAAAGGUUGAGAGUCCUGUGGUCAAUGAAAUACAUGUGGUCAUGUGUAUUUAUAUUUUCUUAGUGUUAUUAAUAAAGAAAAAAAUCAGGCUGGCUAAGGUCUGAACAAUACUGAGCACAUGUUUGCAUUGUUAGGUGGUGAAUGAAAGUUUUGGUGGAAUUUUAAUUGCUAAGUGAUAAAUGUAAUUUGUAGGUUGCUCUAAAUGAUGUCUCCUUGAUAGGGAUUUAAAGUAUCAUCUGGAAAACUAAUCUGACUUUGGUGAGAAUCUUUUAGGUGCUUUCAGUUGUCUGGAACUGCUGGUGUUUUUCAAUCUGUGGUCCCACAAAGUUUGUACAACAAAGACUAUACGUGCAAACUUCCAAGCACUGUGAAAGUCACAGAGGAAUGCUUAUCCAUCUGGAACUUCAGUGAUCUCUAAGUCUUUUCAUGGUGUUACUGAACACUUCUGGAAAUAGAGUAUCUGUGAAUAGGAUUCCUAUUGCAAGAAAGAGGAAAGCACCUUUAAUUUUAUGUUUUUAUGGGUUUGGUGAUUGACUAUGCAAAAUUUAGCCCAAAGUCAAUAUUCACCUAACAUAUUUAGAAAUUUCAAAAUACAAUGGAAUUAUUAAUUUGACUCUUAAAAGAAUUUAUUAAAUUAAAUGUCUCCAUUACUUACUAGAAGGAUAAUCACGUAUUCUCUGUCCUACCAUUGACUUCAUUCUCCUCACAAAUCUUGUUAUUUUAAUAUAUUUAGUUGUUCAUUUAAUGUAUUAUUUAAUAAAACCAGUCAUCAGUGGAAUAUUUUACAGUGAAGCUUAAGGAAAUCACUUUCUAACAUGCCAAGAUCCCAGAUCGAUUCAAGGCUUUGUAAAUGUGACAAAAAUCAACUUGAACUGCAGUCAGAAAGGAACUGGGAUCAAAUGUGGAAUAUAAUGCAUUGAACUUGCAGCAGUUUGUCCAGUUUAAUCAAUGUUAUCUCUAUGUGAAAAGUCUGCUAGAAAAUGUGUAGAUACUUUUUCUUCUGGAAUUCAGAUCUUCUGUGGAUUGUCCAAACACUGUAACAAGCCUAUAUCUUUUUUUCCCUUA